GUAGGGAAUCUUCCGCAAUGGACGAAAGUCUGACGGAGCAACGCCGCGUGAGUGAAGAAGGUUUUCGGAUCGUAAAACUCUGUUGUCAGAGAAGAACAAGUUGGAGAGUAACUGCUCCAGCCUUGACGGUAUCUGACCAGAAAGCCACGGCUAACUACGUGCCAGCAGCCGCGGUAAUACGUAGGUGGCAAGCGUUGUCCGGAUUUAUUGGGCGUAAAGCGAGCGCAGGCGGUUCCUUAAGUCUGAUGUGAAAGCCCACGGCUCAACCGUGGAAGGUCAUUGGAAACUGGGGAACUUGAGUGCAGAAGAGGAGAGUGGAAUUCCAUGUGUAGCGGUGAAAUGCGUAGAUAUAUGGAGGAACACCAGUGGCGAAGGCGACUCUCUGGUCUGUAACUGACGCUGAGGCUCGAAAGCGUGGGGAGCAAACAGGAUUAGAAACCCUAGUAGUCC
This 450-nucleotide ribosomal RNA is filed under the name uncultured bacterium. Its description in RNAcentral is "bacterial SSU rRNA". It matches the Rfam family "Bacterial small subunit ribosomal RNA", at positions 354 to 796 of the family's 1533-position model. The record is from RNAcentral.